AUUUACAGGACAGGAAGGAGCGCCGAAGUAUACUGGAAAAGAAACUUGCAGAUGCUGACGUCUCAGAGGAAGAUCAAAAUAAUCUACUGAAAUUUCAUGAAAAGAAGGAAACAGAAUACAUGCGUCUGCAAAGGCACAAAAUGGGAGCUGAUGAUUUUGAGUUACUAACAAUGAUUGGAAAGGGUGCAUUUGGGGAGGUAAGAGUUUGUAGGG
Molecule: unclassified non-coding RNA, 213 nt
Filed under: Hevea brasiliensis (rubber tree)
Lineage: Eukaryota; Viridiplantae; Streptophyta; Magnoliopsida; Malpighiales; Euphorbiaceae
Source: RNAcentral